GUGCUGGAAUGUAACUCGGUGGUAGAGUAUGUGCCUAGCAUGUGAAGUCCUGGGUUUCAUGCCCAGUCCUAGAAAAGGAAAAUACUUAGUAUAGG
Molecule: microRNA precursor, 95 nt
Filed under: Cavia aperea (Brazilian guinea pig)
Lineage: Eukaryota; Metazoa; Chordata; Mammalia; Rodentia; Caviidae
Description: miRNA (ENSCAPG00000002736.1)
Source: RNAcentral